GGGACAAUUAUGUCGUAAUUUUUGGCAGCAAGGGAUAGACACAUAAUUCAUGUUAAUAGAUGGAAAUGGCCGAUGGUAAUAUUGGUUUAGAGAUAGAUUUGGGGAAUCUGGAAGAUGAAGAAGAUAACAGAAACGAGAAAAACGGGAACGCAAUUUGUGGAAACAAGGAGGAAUCAUAACUGAAUGGGACACGUGCAUUCAGGAUACAAGACUGGUGGAGUGCACCGUUGGGUGACAAUAGCUAAAAUUUGAUCUUUCCUGGUUUCUAGUUGAUUUUCACCGCUAUAGGGAGUUAGGCUCCGUUUAUCAAAAUAAAUAAUGCACAUCACUUCUUAAUCUCAGUUGAGUGUGGUACCAGAGCUCCUGGUCCUAGGAGCUGAAUGGUAUCUAUGAGGAUGAAAGGUCAAGUUAAAGCUUUGAAAUGAAGGAUGACAUAUACAGGGUAAGUGGCAGGAAGCUCUUUGAAAGUCAAUGGGGGAGAUUAUGAAAAAUCUAUGUGCGAGUCUGGCUCAUUUCAAAGAGAAAGAUCAGAAGGACUGGAGUAAAAGGGCUUGAGGUACCUUAUUUCACACGUGAAGAUCCAUUGGAUAUACCAGGCUGGGUGAUACAGAUGACAUGGUGGUGGCAGGUGCAAUUUGUUUGGAGGAUAUGAUGCUAGUUUCAAAAGAGGGAGAACUAAGUGCGCCUCGUUGCUCACUUUCAAGAGAUCACUAUUGGGUCAAUUACAUGAAUUAUUAAUGAGCUUAAAGCAAACAAAAUCCAUGAAGAGCACAAGAGCAGUUCAAGCUCAUCUCAAGAGAUCACUAUUGGGUCAAUUACAUUAAUUAUUAAUGAGCUUAAAGCAAACAAAAUCCAUGAAGAGCACAAGAGCAGUUCAAGCUCAUCGCUCUGCGAAGUCAAGCUGACUAAGAGGUGCUUAGUAAUGUCCAGGCUGUCUGGAUGACAAACAACUAUAUAAAUCUGAACCGUAGUUCAGCAGACCUGGGACAUUGAUGAAGCUGGCUCAACUGGUGCAAGAUUGAAGUUGGGUAUUGGGGGAGGUUUUUUCAGUGUGAAGAACAGAUUUUUCCAGUCCACGUGUCAGAAUAAGCAACUACAUGUACUAUUGUUGGAAUUUAUUCUUUCCUAGUUUAUUUUCUAUGCUGUGAGGUGCUUAGCUCCGUUUCUCUCAGUAAAUAAUACUCAUCACUUCUUAAUCUGAAUUAUAGAGAAAUUAUAACAUGAUAAAUGGGGUAAAAAUUGAGGACAGUUUGUGAAUAUAAUACUAGUUAGUUAUGCACAAUGAAAAUAAGCCACAAUAAAACUGUCAUCUCAUUUUGUGUCACGUUAAAAAUGCAACUCUUUUAAGACAGAAUGAUAAGUUGGAAGUUGGAAACCUCCCAUAAACCACAAAAAGGCAUAAAACUUUCCGUGUUUUAUUUUGCUAAAAAACAAAGCAACUAAUACCAACGAUAGGGAUUUUGAUUGAUGCAGGAAGGGUUAAAGCACUAAAUGAAUGGAAGUGAGAGAGUACGCUUGGAAAGUAUUCCACUAUCCCUCCCUUUCUUCACCCAAUUCCUUUCUGCAUAUUCUUCCUACAUACAAUGUUCUACAACUCGAAAGCACUCCUUCAUUGAUAUUAUUAAAAAUAAAAGUGCAGAUAAGAAUAUAGUUGUGUUAUUUUUUAAUUACAGGUUCCUUACAUGCUACUAAGGUCAGAUUACUCAUCUUGAUUUCAUGAAAUUUAUAAAAUUGUGGAUACAUAUUGUCUCAACUGAUUUUUCAGGUGUUAUUCUUCUUUUAAGGGGAAAGAGUACAAGACUACAAUAGAACGAUUCUUGAAAAGUGAACACCAAACUCCCCUUUAUCCCUCGAAAAAAUCACCAAAAUAUUUGAUAAUAAAGAAUGAGUGACAACAAAAGGAACAUGGUUGAGCACUUUGAACCUACCGCAAUACAAAAUUCAUGUAAAGCAUAAUUGCAUGAAUAGAUCCAACCUAACACAACCAUGUACAUAAACACUCAUCCAAACAAAUAAAUUACCGUAGCAACAAUAACCUGUGCUACAAUCUCAACACUUCUCUCAGUGGGAAAAAUUUCCUUACUUGAUUAUUAUAAUUGAAAUGUACGUCAAGCAAGGUACAGAAUAAAAAGCAGCACAAAUCAAAACUGUAGACAAAUGACCAAAAUAAGAACACCACACGAGACAGAUGCUACGUAAAACAACAC
RNAcentral lists this long non-coding RNA (2207 nucleotides) under Phaseolus vulgaris (common bean). Its description in RNAcentral is "long non-coding RNA (PVUL_LNC003154)". The record is from RNAcentral. Lineage: Eukaryota; Viridiplantae; Streptophyta; Magnoliopsida; Fabales; Fabaceae.